Molecule: long non-coding RNA, 166 nt
Organism: Oreochromis niloticus (Nile tilapia)
Lineage: Eukaryota; Metazoa; Chordata; Actinopteri; Cichliformes; Cichlidae
Exons: 3
Source: RefSeq, a predicted model, not a curated record
GUGGAGUGGAGCUUGUUGUUCGUGUCACUGUUUGAAGAAACUGUGGAGUCCCGCCUCCUUCCAGGAGAUACCUCACUUGUGUCUCUGUGUUUAGUGUCCAGGUGUGGAGUGGAGCUUGUUGUUUGCGUCUCUGUGCGAAGAAACUGUGAAGGUAGAAAGUGUUUUU